AUGAACGCUGGCGGCGUGCUUAACACAUGCAAGUCGAACGGUGAACACGGAGCUUGCUCUGUGGGAUCAGUGGCGAACGGGUGAGUAACACGUGAGCAACCUGCCCCUGACUCUGGGAUAAGCGCUGGAAACGGCGUCUAAUACUGGAUAUGUGACGUGACCGCAUGGUCUGCGUUUGGAAAGAUUUUUCGGUUGGGGAUGGGCUCGCGGCCUAUCAGCUUGUUGGUGAGGUAAUGGCUCACCAAGGCGUCGACGGGUAGCCGGCCUGAGAGGGUGACCGGCCACACUGGGACUGAGAAACGGCCCAGACUCCUACGGGAGGCAGCAGUGGGGAAUAUUGCACAAUGGGCGCAAGCCUGAUGCAGCAACGCCGCGUGAGGGAUGACGGCCUUCGGGUUGUAAACCUCUUUUAGCAGGGAAGAAGCGAAAGUGACGGUACCUGCAGAAAAAGCGCCGGCUAACUACGUG
Molecule: ribosomal RNA, 468 nt
Filed under: uncultured bacterium
Lineage: Bacteria
Description: partial 16S ribosomal RNA
Rfam family: Bacterial small subunit ribosomal RNA
Source: RNAcentral